UGGGGAAUAUUGCACAAUGGGCGAAAGCCUGAUGCAGCAACGCCGCGUGAGUGAUGAAGGCCCUUCGGGUUGUAAAAGCUCUGUCUUUUGGGACGAUAAUGACGGUACCAAAGGAGGAAGCCACGGCUAACUACGUGCCAGCAGCCGCGGUAAUACGUAGGUGGCAAGCGUUGUCCGGAUUUACUGGGCGUAAAGGAUGCGUAGGCGGAUUUUUAAGUGAGAUGUGAAAUACCCGGGCUUAACUUGGGUGCUGCAUUUCAAACUGGGAAUCUAGAGUGCGGGAGAGGAGAAUGGAAUUCCUAGUGUAGCGGUGAAAUGCGUAGAGAUUAGGAAGAACACCAGUGGCGAAGGCGAUUCUCUGGACCGUAACUGACGCUGAGGCAUGAAAGCGUGGGUAGCAAACAGGAUUAGAUACCCUGGUAGUCCACGCCGUAAACGAUGAGUACUAGGUGUAGGAGGUAUCGACCCCUUCUGUGCCGCAGUUAACACAAUCAAGUACUCCGCCUGGGAAGUACGAUCGCAAGA
Molecule: ribosomal RNA, 525 nt
Filed under: uncultured bacterium
Lineage: Bacteria
Description: partial 16S ribosomal RNA
Rfam family: Bacterial small subunit ribosomal RNA
Source: RNAcentral